Molecule: ribosomal RNA, 1529 nt
Filed under: Klebsiella pneumoniae
Lineage: Bacteria; Pseudomonadati; Pseudomonadota; Gammaproteobacteria; Enterobacterales; Enterobacteriaceae
Description: bacterial LSU rRNA
Rfam family: Bacterial large subunit ribosomal RNA
Source: RNAcentral
GAUGGGAAACAGGUUAAUAUUCCUGUACUUGGUGUUACUGCGAAGGGGGGACGGAGAAGGCUAUGUUAGCCGGGCGACGGUUGUCCCGGUUUAAGCAUGUAGGCUGAUUGUCCAGGCAAAUCCGGAUAAUCAAGGCUGAGGUGUGAUGACGAGGCACUACGGUGCUGAAGUAACAAAUGCCCUGCUUCCAGGAAAAGCCUCUAAGCAUCAGGUAACAUUAAAUCGUACCCCAAACCGACACAGGUGGUCAGGUAGAGAAUACCAAGGCGCUUGAGAGAACUCGGGUGAAGGAACUAGGCAAAAUGGUGCCGUAACUUCGGGAGAAGGCACGCUGGUGUGUAGGUGAAGUCCCUGCGGAUGGAGCUGAGACCAGUCGAAGAUACCAGCUGGCUGCAACUGUUUAUUAAAAACACAGCACUGUGCAAACACGAAAGUGGACGUAUACGGUGUGACGCCUGCCCGGUGCCGGAAGGUUAAUUGAUGGGGUUAUCCGUAAGGAGAAGCUCUUGAUCGAAGCCCCGGUAAACGGCGGCCGUAACUAUAACGGUCCUAAGGUAGCGAAAUUCCUUGUCGGGUAAGUUCCGACCUGCACGAAUGGCGUAAUGAUGGCCAGGCUGUCUCCACCCGAGACUCAGUGAAAUUGAACUCGCUGUGAAGAUGCAGUGUACCCGCGGCAAGACGGAAAGACCCCGUGAACCUUUACUAUAGCUUGACACUGAACAUUGAGCCUUGAUGUGUAGGAUAGGUGGGAGGCUUUGAAGCGUGGACGCCAGUCUGCGUGGAGCCAACCUUGAAAUACCACCCUUUAAUGUUUGAUGUUCUAACGUUGGCCCCUGACCGGGGUUGCGGACAGUGUCUGGUGGGUAGUUUGACUGGGGCGGUCUCCUCCCAAAGCGUAACGGAGGAGCACGAAGGUUAGCUAAUCCUGGUCGGACAUCAGGAGGUUAGUGCAAUGGCAUAAGCUAGCUUGACUGCGAGCGUGACGGCGCGAGCAGGUGCGAAAGCAGGUCAUAGUGAUCCGGUGGUUCUGAAUGGAAGGGCCAUCGCUCAACGGAUAAAAGGUACUCCGGGGAUAACAGGCUGAUACCGCCCAAGAGUUCAUAUCGACGGCGGUGUUUGGCACCUCGAUGUCGGCUCAUCACAUCCUGGGGCUGAAGUAGGUCCCAAGGGUAUGGCUGUUCGCCAUUUAAAGUGGUACGCGAGCUGGGUUUAGAACGUCGUGAGACAGUUCGGUCCCUAUCUGCCGUGGGCGCUGGAGAAUUGAGGGGGGCUGCUCCUAGUACGAGAGGACCGGAGUGGACGCAUCACUGGUGUUCGGGUUGUCAUGCCAAUGGCACUGCCCGGUAGCUAAAUGCGGAAGAGAUAAGUGCUGAAAGCAUCUAAGCACGAAACUUGCCCCGAGAUGAGUUCUCCCUGAGACUUUAAGUCUCCUGAAGGAACGUUGAAGACGACGACGUUGAUAGGCCGGGUGUGUAAGCGCAGCGAUGCGUUGAGCUAACCGGUACUAAUGAACCGUGAGGCUUAACCUU